Molecule: ribosomal RNA, 217 nt
Filed under: uncultured bacterium
Lineage: Bacteria
Description: partial 16S ribosomal RNA
Rfam family: Bacterial small subunit ribosomal RNA
Source: RNAcentral
GACAGAGGAUGCAAGCGUUAUCCGGAAUGAUUGGGCGUAGAGUCGUCUGUAGGUGGCUUCAAGUCCGCCGUCAAAUCCCAGGGCUCAACCCUGGACAGGCGGUGGAAACUACCAAGCUGGAGUACGGUAGGGGCAGAGGGAAUUUCCGGUGGAGGCGGUGAAAUGCAUUGAGAUCGGAAAGAACACCAACGGCGAAAGCACUCGUGCGGCCGACACU